RNAcentral lists this long non-coding RNA (989 nucleotides) under Triticum aestivum (bread wheat). RNAcentral's name for it is "long non-coding RNA (TAES_LNC011334)". Lineage: Eukaryota; Viridiplantae; Streptophyta; Magnoliopsida; Poales; Poaceae. The record is from RNAcentral.
UACCAGCUAAGGAUUGAUGUGCUUUUGAGGUACUCUUCCAUUCCAUGCAGGGGGGAUGCAGUAGGGGGUGAAAAUAAUCUAUACUAUAUACUCCUACUUAGCAUUAUUUUUCUGUCAACUUAAUGCUAUUUUAUGAAUAUUUGACAGGAUUCUAAUGAUGUUCAGACUAAAUUAGACUAUUUGUAAUGUAAUUUUCACAAAUUUUGAACCAAUGCAUUAAAAAGGUGUUGCCUAUACUGAAUUAGGUAUUGAAGAUGUUUUCUUGUGUAUGUGUGUUUCAGUGCGAACUCGGAUCCGUUGCUGCUCCAAACCAGACAAUUCGGAGGAGGAACGCGAGUCUCCCUGCGAUGCCAAGGUUGGCGCUGUUCUUUCAGUUGUCUCUGUUUCAAACCAUACAAUUCAUUUAGGCAAAUACUGGAGACACUGUCAUUCAUACUGUAUUUGGCAUGGUAGUGGACAGUCAGAACCUUACGGUUUCGCAACAUCCUCAGAAUAAAUAUUCUGCUCAAAUCAGGUUCUGCGUAUAUCCUGUUAUUCAUCUCAGAAACGAGGAUUUCAUAUUACACAAGUGAAGAAUCCUUGAGAAAUGUUUAUGGCAAAUGUCAACCGUAAGUCUGCAUGAGACAUAAGUGAUCCCCAAGUGGUGAAUAGUGCCAUUCUACAAAAUAAGAUCUCUGCAGAACAAAAAGGGCCCUGAACAAUUUCUGGAAUUUUUGUGUUCCUUUAUUUGUUACUCCUCUAAACUACAUCAAUUUUUUCCAGGCUCGUUGCUUUCAAGUCUGAUGCGCGUGUUUUUUCUCAUAUAUAUAGGAAGAAGAAAGUAUGCGCUCCAGACGAAGAUGUCUAGCUUGCCUGUGUGCUGUAACAUUAAUGAGUGCGUUGGGCCCAACGUUUUCUGUCAUCGGAACCUUGAUGAUUUUGUUGGAAAUAUGCCCUAGAGGCAAUAAUAAAUUAGUUAUUAUUAUAUAUCCUUGUUCAUGAUAAUCGUU